This 560-nucleotide long non-coding RNA is filed under the name Lathyrus oleraceus (garden pea). RNAcentral describes it as "Pisum sativum (pea) long non-coding RNA (PSAT_LNC000959)". Lineage: Eukaryota; Viridiplantae; Streptophyta; Magnoliopsida; Fabales; Fabaceae. The record is from RNAcentral.
UUAACAGUACACCAAUGCUUAGAAUGAAAAGAUGCAGAAAAACAAGAAUUAUUCAAAUACAAUAUAAAGUUGAAUUAUGUAAAGUCGUAUAUUUUCUCUCAAGAUGCUUUGGCUACUUAUCGGCACCAUCACAUAAAUAUAGCACUAAAUUUGUGUAAUAGCCCUUCAUUGAACUUUUGUAACUGAUAUAAACAGUUGAACUUGAAGGAUGGAAGAAAACAACUCAGAAAAAGGGAAUCUGAGGCUGCUACAACUAGACCAUAACGGCCUAUGGUUCUAUGUAUGAGAUUCAGAAUUAGGAGAUGCGUUUGGGACCAGUACGGGUCGUAGCCUAUGCUAUGGAAAGAUCAUAGUGGUCUCUGUUUUUUGUAUCAGAGGUCACUCUCUUGUGUCGUCUUUGCGCAUUCUGCCCCGAUUUGCUUUCAAUUUGCCAUCUUUUUUCUGGAACACCUGAAACAUGAAGAAAACAGAAAAAUGAAAGUAAAAUGCACAAAAAUAAAGAUCAAAAUAGUCAAAUUUAAACUGAAAAUUCUUAAGAAAAAGUAGUCAAAUACCAUUGA